Long non-coding RNA from Pseudopipra pipra, 4813 nucleotides. RefSeq lists it as uncharacterized. The transcript is spliced from 3 exons. NCBI's taxonomy places the organism in Eukaryota, Metazoa, Chordata, Aves, Passeriformes, Pipridae. The record is from RefSeq and is a predicted model, not a curated record.
GGCUUUUGCAAAUCCUCUUCUUAGGCUCUCUGCAGAUAUUGAGAGGAGAACAUAAGAGCACUGCUGACAGAGGAGUUGAUUCUACUAAUUGGUGGGAUCUCUAAAACUUUAGCAUCUCGUGUGGAUGUAGUCCAUUUUUGUGUUUUGCAUAUGGGAAAACAGAUGUAUAGAAGAAUUAAGUGAUAUCAUGGACUACCUUUGUCUAGCAACAUGAACCGACUCUCAUCCCAAAUGAGAACCAAAUUGUGACAAAAGAGUAAGAACAACCCCUCCACCUCAAUAGUCCGAGCAAAUACAGAGUCUUUGAAAGCUUCCAAAAUUAAACCAUGUCAAACUGCUACAGGCAAAGGUAUAUAACUAUCGUCACUCGCCUGAGAUGCUCCACUGACAUAGAUGGUUGUCGUUGUGAUGGAAAUAGGACAAGAAAUGGUUUUUCAGAUAAUGAGGUCUUGAGACUUUGGAGGGUGUAGCUAAAGAUCACCAUUCUACCUCCAGAAAAUAACAUAGAUUUAUUUCAUUAGUGUGAGAGUUUCUUUACUUUUAGAUUCAUAAAUAUGAAAUAGGGAUGGAAAGGAAUAUAAGUUUAUUGGGGGCAGGGGUUGGGCUUUUUUGUUUUUUUAAUUUUCCUUUCUCACAUACAAGUGUUCAGUCAGUCUAAGGGUUAAUGAAUUAUUUUUCUGGAUUAAAAAUAAACCUAGUUUUCUUCAUUUUGCGUUAAUGAAAACAAAUGGGAAGGAAGGUAUAUGACUUGUGUAUCUAGGACAUAUAAAAGCUCAUGUUUUUGAACAACUCACAAAGUCAGCCACAAUCUUCAUCAUUGAUUUACCGAUUCCAGUGUUAUCUUGGGGCAAAUACUACAGUUAUGUAAAGUCCACAAAAAAACCCCAACAUUAUUUAACAUUCUUUCAUUUAAUUCAUAGUACAGCAUCGAUUGCAUCGCAACUAAUGGCUUUAAAUACAAGCAGCUUUUCAAACCCUAUGCAUUUCCAAACCAGCCUUCAGUAAGAAUGACACUACCACAUCAAUUACUAGCACAGGCCAGCUAUAAAAUUACAAAACCACUCAGCCAUCUAUAUAAUUAAAUGCAAACCAAAGUAGUCAAGCAAAUGUUAAAGAAAAUGUCUUCAUAUGGUAAACUUUGUAGGUAAAGGCCUACAUCUACUCUUCUACUUGGGAAGAAAUAUACCUUUGUAUCUCAUAGGUAUGCCAGGUAUCUGCUUCCCACUCUUUCAAACAGCAUUUAUAGCUGAUAAAUACAGAACUCUCAGCUGGUACUGUCUGUUGCUCUGUUGAAUUCAGUAUCUUAAUCACAAAUACCAGAGAAUCAAGUAAAAGAGGUGUGAAACAAAAGUGGCUGCAUAAUGCCUGGGUGUGUCCUGAUAAUGUAGGACUUGGUCUCUGCCUGGCUCUUAAUUGCUUACAUAAUUCUCCUGAGCUAACUAGCAUUGCUUUUGUUAAUAAUGUAAUUUUGCAGUUUCUUGGAUGCACUGUGAAGACAGAAGUGAAGCUGUGAAUCGAGGUUAAUUGAAAUGCUUACGUGAUGGUGAUGUGCCAGAUUCCCUGCUGUAAGUCUCAGGAGGAAACUUGCAGUAAGUGUAGCUUGGAGAGUAAGGACAAAGUGACCUUGGCUUUUCCUUUGCUGCUUUCUGCAUUUAGGUGAAGUUUAGGGCUCUGUGGCCCAUAGGUGUAAGUCAGCAGUUCGAGAGGGUGCUGUGAUUUAUGAAAUCCUCCCCACUGUGCUGUCAGUAGGCUGUUUACGCCUCACAGUACCUUAGAGCAGAGGAGGAUUUCUGACACUGUUCUUUCUGCUGUGAGCAUUAUCUCCAGCACUUCAUUUACAUGACACAUGCUAAAGGUUACAAAAUUGGAAACGUGCAGGAGUACAAAGCUUCUGGUCCCUUGAAAGUGCUGGCCAGAGCUUCUCAAAGCUGCUUCUGCCUCCUUUUAAUUCUGACAAAGGGACUAAGGAUUGAUUCUGACCCGUCAUUUGCAUGCCUGUAAUAUUUAUUUCUUUCAGUGAACACAUACCUGUAUGAACAAAACCAUUUUUGAUAGUUUAUUGUAGAUUUAAGAUCAAACAUUUAAACACUAACUUCCCAAAAGGGAACCCAAAGUCCAGAAUUAAGUAAAUAGGCUCCUCAUAGAAAACCUGAGGAGAAUCAGAUGUGUUAGAAAGGGAGCCCAACUGUGCAAUGAACAGGACUUAUAAGAAAUGUGCCCAAAGCCCCAUGUUUUCCCAGAUAAGACGUAAUAUGAACCAGCAUGUCCAUUCUGAUCCGAUCCAGAAUUCUUUAGCAGAGUGAGAACCCCUGUACCUGUUCUCCUUUCUCUGUCUUAUGGCAAUUCAUGUUGUGUAGUUCACCUCUAAAAAAAGUUCCUAGCCACUAUUUUGCAGGGUGGUGUGUGGUUUUGCCUCUUUAAGAAUGCCUUCUGCUAAAGAAGUCUUUAUGCAGAAAAGUGCACCAAUAAGAAGAUAGGGAUGCCAGGAAGAAAAGGCUCUGUAGCCUAUCGAAGAGAGCACUCAGCAGAAUGGAGGCAGAGAGGAAAUCCAGCUAUAAAACGUUCUGAUGGGUAACAUGCUAUUCCUAAACUACAAAGAACUGACUACAUGUAGGACAGCAUUGACUUAUGGGGUGAAAUAAGGAGAAAGCUGUCAAAGGACUGGGUAUGCCUGAAGCAGAAGAAAGGGGAAAUUCUUCCUCACAUUGAAGCUGUUGACCUGCACAAAGUCACCAAGUUUGUUGGGUCAGAGAGGGAGAGCAUGAGAAUCAUGGCUUUCUACUCUGGGAACCAGCGUGCUCCCUUGGGAGGUAUGUCCCCAUCCCUCACUGUCUGGACAAAAUCUAAGUGGUAACAGGAAGAAGUGAGCAUAGCCUGCCUCAACCAGCCUCUGCUGAGGUGUCUCUGCUACCUAAGUAAAUGCUCUGAUCAUUGAGCUGUUGCGUAAUUGGGGACUUUCCUCCAACACAGUUUAUCCCCUCCUUUGUUUUUUUUCCAGCCAAAACUAUUCAGCAAAUUUGAAGCAAAUAGUUUAGACAUGACUGAAACCACAUUUUCCGGGGAAUUAACUAUUAAAAUAAAUAAAUAAAUCAUCCAGCUCUAACUAUUACCACUUCUAAAAUCUAUGCUGAUUCUUUUCCAUGUAAAUUAAAAUCUUUUUUUUUUUUUUAAACAUAACAGUUUGACCCAUCUACCCAGACAGGGUAGUAAAUUAGGCUCAUUACUUAUGCUGUUCUGGAGUGCACAGUGUCUGUUAUAGUACUUACAACUAAAGCUUAUUUCUUCAGUUUACCAAUCUUUUCCUCUCUUUGCAGCCUCUAUCAUCCCAUCAAUUCCAACAGUUGGUCCCUGUAGGAGAGGGGACUCUUCACUAUUACAUUUUCAUCCUUUUCCAGUCAACUAAUUUAAAACUAAUAAAGUACUUUUUUCACUGGGCCUACUGCUAACUUGUUGAUAGUUUAGAUUAUGCCAUACUACUAGAUACAAGUUAAACCAUUGGAAACAAACAAAAAAAGGAUAUCUCUAGAUGUACUUGAGAAUAGUAGGAAAUGUUGCAGUAAAACAGAAUUCCAGCUCUGAACCAAGUGCUGGACUUGAUGUUGCCUGUAGAGUGGCAGCUUGAAGAGAGAUUUCACUACAGAAAAGAACAAAAUUUGGGGUUUUUUUCAGAAUUUUCCAAGCAGUUGUGCAAGACUCCCCCAUGACCUGCGUCGCAGGCAGAUGCGUAGCCCACAGAGUCAGUCGGGUGGUACGACCACAGCCCAGACCCCCUGAUCUUACAAGGCCUGGAAGCUCUUGACCUUGAGCUGUCAAAAAGACUCAGGUAGAUCAUGUCAGAUAUGCUGGAAGGAAAGCAGCAGCUAGGGAUUUGGGGACAAGCUGUUUGCUUUCCACCAAAUUGGAAUUUGAUGGUAGAAAACUUUAGCCAGAACAAGGUGGGUUGGAACUAGAUUAUUGUCAAGGUCCUUUCCAACCUAAACCACUCUGUGAAUCCAUGAUUCUGUGAUUUUUGAUCAGCUCACUUGGGCCUUGUGGGACUCCAGCAUUGCAUCUCACCUUUCCAUCUGGUAGUUUCCAAAUACUCUCCCUAGGCCAUGGUGAGCAACUCUCUUGAUAUAUUUGUUGCAGCAUUUUCAAUUCCUGUUUGAUUCCGUGUGUGAUUUGCAGCUGGCUGGAAAAGUGAAGUGGUGGUUUGGCGCUUCAGAAGCCAGUGGAAGGAUGGUUGUAGACAUCCCUCUAGUGGCCCUGCAGCCUCUGGGAAGCCGGGAGCAGCUCCGGCAUCCCCGGGCUCAGCAUGCAUGCAGAUGCUGGCAAAUGGAUGCUCUCCUCUGUGGAGUUGGAUCCUCUGUAGAGCUGGGGAACUGUAAUGGCAGAUAAUAUUUCCCUUUUUCCCUUUCACCAAAAUUGUCCUUGAAACUCAGCACCAGUUCAGGCUGUUUAGAAUGUUUAUUUCAUGCAGGCCACAAUGCUGGAAGGACGUAUCCAUUUCACUGGCCACUGUAAAAAACAGGUGUACUGGGAGAUGAUAUGAGGGAAGGGUUAAUACUGUCUCUACGCUUUUUUAAAUGUCAGCUUAUUUAACCUAGAGAGAGAGCAAUUUUGUCAUCAUUGAAAAAACAGGCAAGUUAUACUUGAAGAUUAAUCAAAUGUUUCAGAUUUUCUUGUCUCUUUUAUACAAGACUGAUAGGAUACCAAGGGGGAAAAAAGCAAAAAAAUAAAGUGUAUGUAAAAUAAACAUAAGGAACAUUUAUUUGUACAUUUGUAGACUUUGGCUUCUCAACUGAAACUGUCAAUAAAAUGCUAAUUUUGCUUA